GGAUGUGGGAGGAUAUGGGGCUGUAGGGUGCUGUGUGGGGAUCUCGAGGGAUAUGGGGAUAUCGGUGGGUUUUGGGAAUAGAGGGGGAUGGAGGGAUGUGGGGCCACAGGGGGUGCUAUAGAGGGAUCCAGGGCUGUGAGUGGGUUGUAGGAGGAGAUGGGGCUGUAGGGGGCUGUGUUGGGAAUCCAGGGAGGGUGUGAGGGGCCAUGGGGAGGCCAGAGGGAGAAAUGGGACUGUAUGGGGUAUAGGGUAGGGCUUUGGGGCGACAGGGGGCUGUAGUGGGUUAUAGGGGUGGAUAUUGGGGGAUAUGGGGCUGUAGUGUUCUGUGGGGGCUAUCAGGAGGGAUGUGGGGCUAUCAGGGGCUUUAGGAGGGCUGUAGAGGGAUAUAGGGCUGUGUGGGGGUUGUUGGAGGAUAUGAGGCUAUAGUGCGCUAGGGUGGCUCUAGGGGUGUGCGGGGCUUUAGGGAGCUUAAUUGUGUCUCUAGGUGGGCUAUGGGGCUCUAGAAAGCUGUGGGGGACUGUAGAAGGGGUAUUGGGGUAUAUGGGAAAAGAGGGGGCUGUGGUUGGGAUCUAGGGAUCUGUGGGCAGCUAUUGGGGGAUAUGGGGCUCUAGGGUGCUGCAGGGUCUUUACAGAGUGUUUUAGAGCUAUAUGGGGGAUAUAGGGGGACUUGGUUCUCUAGGGGGCUGUGGGGGUAUAGGGGUGAUAUGGGUCUGUAGGGGGCUUUGGGAGGAGCUCCACGGUUCUAUGAGGGGGCUGUAAGGGCUAUAGGUGUGUUCGAGGGGGAUAUGUGGCUUUAGGGGUUUGUGGCAACAUGUGGGAGGGUUGAGGGUGCUAGGGGUUGGGGGGGGCUCUAGGGCAGGAUGUUGUGCUGUAGGAGAUUGUGGGGGCCUGAGGGAGGAUAUAGGGUGUCUGUGGGGAUAUAGGGGAGAUAUGGAGUCUAGAAGGGUUCUAGGGGGAUAUGAGGCUGGAUAUGGGAGAGUGUGGGGGGCUCUGGAGGGAGUCUAGG
RNAcentral lists this long non-coding RNA (1006 nucleotides) under Gallus gallus (chicken). Its description in RNAcentral is "lncRNA (ENSGALG00010029062.1)". Lineage: Eukaryota; Metazoa; Chordata; Aves; Galliformes; Phasianidae. The record is from RNAcentral.